Molecule: ribosomal RNA, 558 nt
Filed under: Lactiplantibacillus plantarum
Lineage: Bacteria; Bacillati; Bacillota; Bacilli; Lactobacillales; Lactobacillaceae
Description: bacterial SSU rRNA
Rfam family: Bacterial small subunit ribosomal RNA
Source: RNAcentral
AAGCAUUCCGCCUGGGGAGUACGGCCGCAAGGAUGAAACUCAAAGGAAUUGACGGGGGCCCGCACAAGCUGUGGAGCAUGUGGUUUAAUUCGAAGCUACGCGAAGAACCUUACCAGGUCUUGACAUGCUAUGCAAAUCUAAGAGAUUAGACGUUCCCUUCGGGGACAUGGAUACAGGUGGUGCAUGGUUGUCGUCAGCUCGUGUCGUGAGAUGUUGGGUUAAGUCCCGCAACGAGCGCAACCCUUAUUAUCAGUUGCCAGCAUUAAGUUGGGCACUCUGGUGAGACUGCCGGUGACAAACCGGAGGAAGGUGGGGAUGACGUCAAAUCAUCAUGCCCCUUAUGACCUGGGCUACACACGUGCUACAAUGGAUGGUACAACGAGUUGCGAACUCGCGAGAGUAAGCUAAUCUCUUAAAGCCAUUCUCAGUUCGGAUUGUAGGCUGCAACUCGCCUACAUGAAGUCGGAAUCGCUAGUAAUCGCGGAUCAGCAUGCCGGCGGUGAAUACGUUCCCGGGCCUUGUACACACCGCCCGGUCAACGGGCCCGAAUUGGGUAGC